Molecule: long non-coding RNA, 148 nt
Organism: Prunus persica (peach)
Lineage: Eukaryota; Viridiplantae; Streptophyta; Magnoliopsida; Rosales; Rosaceae
Exons: 2
Source: RefSeq, a predicted model, not a curated record
GAGGUCUCGAUCUGAACAGGUUCAGAAUUGGGUUGUUGAAGGAAGGGGCUUUGGAGGUGGGUUUAAUCAGAUCGAAGCCAUUAGGUCUGGGAGGAGAGGAACACAGAACUACUGAGAGAGACAGAGAGAGAGAGAAGGGUGGAGGUUG